Molecule: RNA transcript, 1144 nt
Organism: Drosophila ficusphila
Lineage: Eukaryota; Metazoa; Arthropoda; Insecta; Diptera; Drosophilidae
Exons: 4
Source: RefSeq, a predicted model, not a curated record
CACUGUUUUCGAACGUGUGCUCCUGGCGAACAAAGCUAGUAGGGCUUGGGCUUAACUUUGUUACUUUUGCACAGAAGACUGGAAUACAUCAGGGAAAUGGGAAGCAUUGCAAAUGCCAAAAUUUCGGGCUUCGUUUGCCGCAUCUGCAUGCAGGUCCACCGCAACGUUCUCCUCUUUUUCGGGGAACGCGCUCAGCAAAUGCACCUGGUCCAGAAGGUGAAAAGACACUUCUCGGUGGCCGUCUCGUCCACCGACGAUCUGCCCAAGACCAUAUGCCACGAGUGCAUCAGAACGGUGAACAGGUUCGAGGAGAUGCAGGCCUACUUCCGAAAGCUAAGAGCCGACCUUUGUCUGGCGAUUCCUCGAGGCAGUCCGCCCAGUCCAGUCUCUGACUGGACGGAUGACCUCGCCAUUAGCGACGAUAGCGAUUCGACCGAGUCGAGUGACUCCUUCGAUUUCGAUGAAGACGACAACGCAGAAUAGCUGAAAGCGCAUGUGAAGCAUUACUCAACACAACUUUUCGAGAUCUCGCAGGUGAAAGCUUUAACUAAGAGCUUCCCCUUUCUAAACGCCACUAACCAUUUAUACACCCAACUUUAUGGAAAGCUAGCGUAAAACCAUUACACUUAUCUUAAUGAGAAGUCGAUAUACCAAAGCUGAUUCGUGAUGAACCACCAAUACCAAGUUGAAUCACCAUAGAGAAGUUUAACGCACUAUAAGGAUAUAUUCUCCAUAUUCAUUCUUUGGGUGGCAUUUUGCCAAGUUCCCACAAUUCCAGCAGCGUUUUCAACUGAUUCGCGGUUCACAUGCCUAAUUAACAUGUCAAUAAGUCGAGGAGGGGGCCCGGCCAUCAAGUCGAAAAAGGAUUUUAACCCUAAUGAACGUCGAAAGAGACAGGACAACGCCAAGGAAAGGAAAGCGAGCAGGACGAGGGCAGUUGCGUGCGGAGCCGCGAAACGUGCGCCAUUAAAAAGCCACGAACAUCAAUUUAAAUAUUGCAUUACAAUGAUUUGCAUAAAGGGCACACGCAUAGCUCACAAUAUACACACACACACGGUACAGUACUCCCCCCCUUGCCGCGAAAUCACGGACAAAACAAAGGAAACCCCCCAUUAAACCAAAAUAAAUUUGCACUUUCACAUGA